Molecule: ribosomal RNA, 444 nt
Filed under: uncultured bacterium
Lineage: Bacteria
Description: partial 16S ribosomal RNA
Rfam family: Bacterial small subunit ribosomal RNA
Source: RNAcentral
GUGAGGAAUAUUGGGCAAUGGUCGGAAGACUGACCCAGCCAUGCCGCGUGCAGGAAGACGGCCCUCUGGGUUGUAAACUGCUUUUAUCUGGGAAGAAAAAGGCCAUGCGUGGCAAAUUGCCGGUACCAGAUGAAUAAGCACCGGCUAACUCCGUGCCAGCAGCCGCGGUAAUACGGAGGGUGCGAGCGUUGUCCGGAUUUAUUGGGUUUAAAGGGUGCGUAGGCGGCUGAUUAAGUCAGCGGUGAAAGACUUCGGCUUAACCGGAGCAGUGCCGUUGAUACUGGUUGGCUUGAGUGUCGGAGAGGUACAUGGAAUUGAUGGUGUAGCGGUGAAAUGCAUAGAUACCAUCAGGAACACCGAUAGCGAAGGCAUUGUACUGGCCGACAACUGACGCUGAUGCACGAAAGUGUGGGGAUCGAACAGGAUUAGAUACCCCAGUAGUCC